GCUGUGAUGGCCGAGUGGUUAAGGCUUUGGAUUUGAAAUCCAAUGGGGUUUCUCCGCGCAGGUUCGAACCCUGCUCUCAGCG
RNAcentral lists this transfer RNA (82 nucleotides) under Dallia pectoralis (Alaska blackfish). RNAcentral describes it as "tRNA-Ser". It matches the Rfam family "tRNA". From Rfam's summary of the family: Transfer RNA (tRNA) molecules are approximately 80 nucleotides in length. Their secondary structure includes four short double-helical elements and three loops (D, anti-codon, and T loops). The record is from RNAcentral. Lineage: Eukaryota; Metazoa; Chordata; Actinopteri; Esociformes; Umbridae.